GUUUCCUGAGCAGAUGGGAGUGUCUAGACAUAACCCCUGCAUGAAAUCUUGGAGAAUGGGAGAGGCAACAAAAAGACUAAAGGUCUUCUUCCAAAGAGUAAUGAGAGGUCUACCAGAGCGACCUUCCAGAGCAUACCAGAGGUGCAGAGACUGGCUUCUGUCAAACCAACAGGAAAAUGGACAGAUAACUCACAAAGAAAUUGGACCAGCUACCUUCACAAUGCUUUAUUUGCUGCUGUUUUAAAAUCACAUCUCAUCAGGUUGAUCAUUUUAUAUCGCUAACCUUCUUCUGCCCAUGUUCUUUUCUUGUCUUCUACAGGUUGAAAGCAC
Molecule: long non-coding RNA, 330 nt
Filed under: Anas platyrhynchos platyrhynchos (common mallard)
Lineage: Eukaryota; Metazoa; Chordata; Aves; Anseriformes; Anatidae
Description: lncRNA (ENSAPLG00000019723.1)
Source: RNAcentral